Molecule: non-coding RNA, 235 nt
Organism: Pelobates cultripes (western spadefoot toad)
Lineage: Eukaryota; Metazoa; Chordata; Amphibia; Anura; Pelobatidae
Source: the annotation of a GenBank genome assembly
GGGUGACUAGUGACAGAGUGAGGGAGUAAUUAGUGACAGAGUGAGGGAGAGGGUGACUAGUGACAGAGUGAGGGAGGUGGUGACUGUCACUAGUCACCCCAUCCCUCCCUCUGUCACUAGUCACAAGUCAUCCCCUCACUCUGUCACUAGUCACCCCCUCCCUCUGUCACUGUGUCACCCCAUCCCUCCCUAUGUCACUAGUCAUCCCCUCCCUUACUCUGUCACUAGUCACCCC